UACGUAGGGUGCGAGCGUUAAUCGGAAUUACUGGGCGUAAAGUGUGCGCAGGUGGCCGCGCAAGUCGAGUGUGAAAUCCCCGAGCUUAACUUGGGAAUUGCGCUCGAAACUACGUGGCUCGAGUGUGGCAGAGGAAGGUGGAAUUCCACGUGUAGCGGUGAAAUGCGUAGAGAUGUGGAGGAACACCAGUGGCGAAGGCGGCUCACUGGCCCGGUACUGACGCUGAGGUGCGAAAGCGUGGGGAGCAAACAGG
RNAcentral lists this ribosomal RNA (253 nucleotides) under uncultured bacterium. RNAcentral's name for it is "partial 16S ribosomal RNA". It matches the Rfam family "Bacterial small subunit ribosomal RNA", at positions 524 to 776 of the family's 1533-position model. The record is from RNAcentral.